This 446-nucleotide ribosomal RNA is filed under the name uncultured bacterium. RNAcentral's name for it is "partial 16S ribosomal RNA". It matches the Rfam family "Bacterial small subunit ribosomal RNA", at positions 338 to 795 of the family's 1533-position model. The record is from RNAcentral.
CCUACGGGUGACAGCAGUCGAGAAUCAUUCACAAUGGGGGAAACCCUGAUGGGGCGACGCCGCGUGGGGGAAUGAAGGUCUCCGGAUUGUAAACCCCUGUCAUGUGGGAGCAAAUUAAAAAGAUAGUACCACAAGAGGAAGAGACGGCUAACUCUGUGCCAGCAGCCGCGGUAAUACAGAGGGCUCAAGCGUUGUUCGGAAUCACUGGGCGUAAAGCGUGCGUAGGCUGUUUCGUAAGUCGUGUGUGAAAGGCGCGGGCUCAACCCGCGGACGGCACAUGAUACUGCGAGACUAGAGUAAUGGAGGGGGAACCGGAAUUCUCGGUGUAGCAGUGAAAUGCGUAGAUAUCGAGAGGAACACUCGUGGCGAAGGCGGGUUCCUGGACAUUAACUGACGCUGAGGCACGAAGGCCAGGGGAGCGAAAAGGAUUAGAUACCCCGGUAGUC